RNAcentral lists this ribosomal RNA (460 nucleotides) under uncultured bacterium. RNAcentral's name for it is "partial 16S ribosomal RNA". It matches the Rfam family "Bacterial small subunit ribosomal RNA", at positions 338 to 795 of the family's 1533-position model. The record is from RNAcentral.
CCUACGGGUGGCUGCAGUGAGGAAUAUUGGUCAAUGGACGAGAGUCUGAACCAGCCAAGUAGCGUGAAGGAUGACUGCCCUAUGGGUUGUAAACUUCUUUUAUAUGGGAAUAAAACGUUCCACGUGUGGGAUUUUGUAUGUACCAUAUGCAUAAGGAUCGGCUAACUCCGUGCCAGCAGCCGCGGUAAUACGGAGGAGCCGAGCGUUAUCCGGAUUUAUUGGGUUUAAAGGGAGCGUAGGUGGAUUGUUAAGUCAGUUGUGAAAGUUUGCGGCUCAACCGUAAAAUUGCAGUUGAAACUGGCAGUCUUGAGUACAGUAGAGGUGGGCGGAAUUCGUGGUGUAGCGGUGAAAUGCUUAGAUAUCACGAAGAACUCCGAUUGCGAAGGCAGUUCACUGGACUGCAACUGACACUGAGGCUCGAAAGUGUGGGUAUCAAACAGGAUUAGAUACCCCAGUAGUC